UCUUCAUUCCUCGUACUCUCUCACCGGUCAGAGUGUCGAGAGAACACGCAGAAUGAAGAGA
Molecule: non-coding RNA, 61 nt
Organism: Pristionchus pacificus
Lineage: Eukaryota; Metazoa; Nematoda; Chromadorea; Rhabditida; Neodiplogasteridae
Source: Rfam